AAGAGCCAUGUGACGGGAUCCGUGGUUUGGCAGAGGAGACAUGCGAGAAGACGGAACGUUUUGUCCGAAUAGACAUCUGGCAGGGUGGAACGGAGAGAACAGGUAUGGUGGAGAGAACGUCUGAGAAGGUCGCAGGAUUCGCAGGAGCAUCGGGAAAAGAUUGCCUGCUUGCCCGAAGGAAUGGCAAGUUCCAAAGAUGGCGUUUCUUUCCCGGAUCCCGUUUCAGGAACGUUUCUGUUGGCUACAAGGACCGUCUCCAACAUGCUUAGGCUCUGUGAACUUUCCCAGGAUCCUGAGUAGGGUAUCCGCCAUUCGUCCUUAGGGCUCCGGGAUGUCUCGUUCUUACUGUGUCCCUGCCAACCUCAUGCUCAUGUUUUCCCUUCCAGCUGUGCUGUGGGCAGUGUUUAGUUCAUGUCUGCUUUGCUGGCGGGCCGAGUAGCAACAGCUGCAGUUGGUGUGUUCUCUGAAGGCAGUAUCCGAAGGCUGGAGGGGUUGCUUUUCUUCCCAGGUGUCUUUUGAAGAGGCAGUCAAGUCAGCAGCUCGCGGUGACCUUCUGGUAACAUCGUAUGGGCUGGGUUAUGGCGUUUCUUUCCCGGAUCCCGUUUCAGGAACGUUUCUGUUGGCUACAAGGACCGUCUCCAACAUGCUUAGGCUCUGUGAACUUUCCCAGGAUCCUGAGUAGGGUAUCCGCCAUUCGUCCUUAGGGCUCCGGGAUGUCUCGUUCUUACUGUGUCCCUGCCAACCUGGCGUCAUUGCCUCUCCACUGAUCCUUCCCUUGGGCGGUGCUGUCAACCGGUGCCGCUGCCUGUCAGCCCAUGGGCGAGGUGAGUCACAGGCACUGUGGGGUUCUUGGAGUCUUAGGCCUGCUCACUUGAGGCAUUCUUCCCCUAUUCGUUGAGUGUUCUCAGAGGGAGGGGACGGAGCUGCUCAACCCUGCUCUUGUGGCUGUCAAGGUGUCCUGCAUUAUCCCACACGCCCAACUCCUGGGAUCUUACAGGGAGGCUGCUGAUGUCCACCUUCCUGCGCUUCCAUCCAUCAGGUGCCUGCCCUUCCUUGGCUGCAGCCGGCCGUGAGGAGUUUUCCUCCAUAGAUAGGGUUCAAGUACCGCCCAACUGUCACCUCAUGGUCAUCUGACAUUCCUGGUGGUGGUGGGGGGACCCCCGGUACUAUGCUCACGUCAGACCAAGUACCUCAAGUGAUAGGAACGUCUGACAGGAUUGCACAUGUGGCAGAAGAGCAUCCGAUGCGAGAAGACGGAACGUUUUGGCCGAGGAGACAUCUGGCAGGGUGGAACGGAGGGAACAGGUGUGGCAGAGAGAAUAUCUGAGAAGCUCGCAGGAUUCCCAGAAGGAGCACUGGGAGUAGAUUGCCUGUUUUCCCGAAGGAACGGCAAGUUCCAAAGGUCAGAGGCUCAUGUGAACUCUGUCGGGUUCAGGAGCAGCUCAGUGUUGCUGGUGGCAAGAGUGUGGUACGAGAGUGGUUGGGCGUGGUUUGAAUAUCUAGAAAAGGCGAGCUGAGGGUAGAUUUUUGAACAGUCCGGAGUAGGAGGGGUAGAGACAUAUUCUAUGGGCCACAGCCACAUUCUCAGGAUGCUCGUGGCUGUAAAUAGUAGAUGACCCAAGUAAGAGCGGCUGAAGCCAUAGGCACCAGAAUUGUGUUGGCAUCGUCGUGUCACGCUCACGUUUUCCCUUCCAGCUGUGCUGUGGGCAGUGUUUACUUCAUGUCUGCUUUGCUGGCGGGCCAAGUAGCAACAGCUGCAGUCGGCGUGUUCUCUGAAGGCAGCGUGUGAAGGGUGGAGGGGUUGCUCUUCUUCCCAGGUGUCUUUUGAAGAGGCAGUCAAGUCAGCAGCUCACAGUGGCCUUCUGGUAACAUCGUAUGGGCUGGGUUACAGCACAUGCCGACUGCUAAGCCAGUCACUGGGGAAAACCAUGUGAUUGCUGUGAUGAGCUUAGAAUGAUCAUUCCUCCUUCAGGAGCUGGGGUGGGUUGAGGGAACGAUAAAGAUCCUGAUAACCUUGCAUUUCUCCAGCGAGAAAGAAGAAAUUCCGUGGAUAGGGAGCCAGCCAGGUUUCCUGCAGAGAUUCACGGGAAGCUUUUGAGCAGGGGAGUCAGAAGAUGAGCGGUGAGUAUUAGGACUUUCCAGUCACGGCGUGACGCAGGGUUUGGCCAGUUCUUCCUGUAAAGGGGCAGGUGGGAAACGCUUGUAGGCCCGGUGGUCUCUGUCAUGUCUGCUGAAGUGAUCUCUGCUGUCUGAUUCCCACUUCCCAGAUUCUCACAGUAGACGAGGAGCCUGUUUUUCAGCUAGCUGCUGCAAGGAGCUGGACAUUUCUCCCUUCAAAUAGGACCUGGAAGGCCUGGAAGCAUCUGGAGAAGGGCAUGGCUGUGAGUAGAGAAACAGAGGAUACAGGCUAAAGCAGGAGGAAGCGAGAGGACUCACGGAAAGCCUUGCUGCACUCUCCAAAAGAGCUGCCCUUUUCACGUGAAGAGCUAUGUGAUCGGAUCCCCGGUUUGGCAGAGUAGACAUGCGAGAAGACUGAACGUUUCAUCGUUGAAACCUCUUAAAGGUGGAAUGUGUGGCAGAAAGAACGUCUGAGAAGCUCACGCGAUUUGCAGAAGGAACAUUUGUAGAAGAUUCCCUGUUUUCCGAAGGAAUGUCAAGUUCCAAAGGCACCGGCAGGCUGCGAAUGGUUUUCUUCCAUAGAAACAUUUCAACAACUGCCUGGCCGUCAUCUAAUGGUUGUCUGACAUUUCUCGUGGUG
This 2758-nucleotide long non-coding RNA is filed under the name Homo sapiens (human). RNAcentral's name for it is "non-protein coding LINC01606:8". The record is from RNAcentral. Lineage: Eukaryota; Metazoa; Chordata; Mammalia; Primates; Hominidae.